This 518-nucleotide ribosomal RNA is filed under the name Parnassius clodius (Clodius parnassian). RNAcentral's name for it is "partial 16S ribosomal RNA". It matches the Rfam family "Bacterial large subunit ribosomal RNA", at positions 1829 to 2600 of the family's 2925-position model. Lineage: Eukaryota; Metazoa; Arthropoda; Insecta; Lepidoptera; Papilionidae. The record is from RNAcentral.
UUUUUGAAAUAAUAAUUUAAAGUCUAAUCUGCCCACUGAUAAUAAAUUAAAGGGCUGCAGUAUUUUGACUGUACAAAGGUAGCAUAAUCAUUAGUCUCUUAAUUGGUGACUUGUAUGAAAGAUUUGAUGAAAUAUAUACUGUCUCUUUUUAAUUUAUAGAAUUUAAUUUUUUAGUUAAAAAGCUAAAAUAUAUUUAAAAGACGAGAAGACCCUAUAGAGUUUAAUAUUUACUUAAUUUAUUAAAAUUUUUUAUAAAAUUUAUAAUUUUAAUAUGUGUAAAUAUUUUGUUGGGGUGAUAAAAAAAUUAAAAUAACUUUUUUUUUAUAAUUUUACAUUAAUAAAUGAGUAAGUGAUCCGUAAUUUACGAUUAUAAGAAAAAAUUACCUUAGGGAUAACAGCGUAAUUUUUUUUUUUAGUUCAAAUAAGAAAAAAAGUUUGCGACCUCGAUGUUGGAUUAAGAUAAAAUUUGAAUGCAAAAGUUUAAAAUUUUUGAUCUGUUCGAUCAUUAAAAUCUUACA